This 1346-nucleotide ribosomal RNA is filed under the name uncultured bacterium. RNAcentral's name for it is "bacterial SSU rRNA". It matches the Rfam family "Bacterial small subunit ribosomal RNA", at positions 28 to 1381 of the family's 1533-position model. The record is from RNAcentral.
GACGAACGCUGGCGGCGUGCUUAACACAUGCAAGUCGAACGGAAAGGCCCUGCUUUUGUGGGGUGCUCGAGUGGCGAACGGGUGAGUAACACGUGAGUAACCUGCCCUUGACUUUGGGAUAACUUCAGGAAACUGGGGCUAAUACCGGAUAGGAGCUCCUGCUGCAUGGUGGGGGUUGGAAAGUUUCGGCGGUUGGGGAUGGACUCGCGGCUUAUCAGCUUGUUGGUGGGGUAGUGGCUUACCAAGGCUUUGACGGGUAGCCGGCCUGAGAGGGUGACCGGCCACAUUGGGACUGAGAUACGGCCCAGACUCCUACGGGAGGCAGCAGUGGGGAAUAUUGCACAAUGGGCGGAAGCCUGAUGCAGCAACGCCGCGUGCGGGAUGACGGCCUUCGGGUUGUAAACCGCUUUCGCCUGUGACGAAGCGUGAGUGACGGUAAUGGGUAAAGAAGCACCGGCUAACUACGUGCCAGCAGCCGCGGUGAUACGUAGGGUGCGAGCGUUGUCCGGAUUUAUUGGGCGUAAAGGGCUCGUAGGUGGUUGAUCGCGUCGGAAGUGUAAUCUUGGGGCUUAACCCUGAGCGUGCUUUCGAUACGGGUUGACUUGAGGAAGGUAGGGGAGAAUGGAAUUCCUGGUGGAGCGGUGGAAUGCGCAGAUAUCAGGAGGAACACCAGUGGCGAAGGCGGUUCUCUGGGCCUUUCCUGACGCUGAGGAGCGAAAGCGUGGGGAGCGAACAGGCUUAGGUACCCUGGUAGUCCACGCUGUAAACGGUGGGUACUAGGUGUGGGGUCCAUUCCACGGGUUCCGUGCCGUAGCUAACGCUUUAAGUACCCCGCCUGGGGAGUACGGCCGCAAGGCUAAAACUCAAAGGAAUUGACGGGGCCCCGCACAAGCGGCGGAGCAUGCGGAUUAAUUCGAUGCAACGCGUAGAACCUUACCUGGGUUUGACAUGGAUCGGGAGUGCUCAGAGAUGGGUGUGCCUCUUUUGGGGUCGGUUCACAGGUGGUGCAUGCCUGUCGUCAGCUCGUGUCGUGAGAUGUUGGGUUAAGUCCCGCAACGAGCGCAACCCUUGUUCACUGUUGCCAGCACGUUAUGGUGGGGACUCAGUGGAGACCGCCGGGGUCAACUCGGAGGAAGGUGGGGAUGACGUCAAGUCCUCAUGCCCCUUAUGUCCAGGGCUUCACGCAUGCUACAAUGGCUGGUACAGAGAGUGGCGAGCCUGUGAGGGUGAGCGAAUCUCGGAAAGCCGGUCUCAGUUCGGAUUGGGGUCCGCAACUCGACCUCAUGAAGUCGGAGUCGCUAGUAAUCGCAGAUCAGCAACGCUGCGGUGAAUACGUUCCCGGGGCU